RNAcentral lists this transfer RNA (369 nucleotides) under uncultured Alphaproteobacteria bacterium. RNAcentral describes it as "partial 16S-23S ribosomal RNA intergenic spacer". The stretch from base 72 to 145 matches the Rfam family "tRNA". The record is from RNAcentral. Lineage: Bacteria; Pseudomonadati; Pseudomonadota; Alphaproteobacteria.
CCUCCUUUCUAAGGAUGUUGUAGGUGGACACUCAUCACCAUCCAUGAAUUCCUUUCGAUAAAUUUAUGUACAGGCGCGUAGCUCAGUUGGUUAGAGCGCACGACUGAUAAUCGUGAGGUCGGCAGUUCAAAUCUGCCCGUGCCUACCAAAUCGCACUGAACUUCGCGGUUAACAUAUUUUAUUGAAAUGAAUUACCAGGAAUACUGGUAGCUGUUUGACAAAGUUAGUGAAGAGAUCUCAAGAACAUUGGCAUAUGAUGCUUGACCGCAAUCAUAUGCUAUGCUUUCGUUCCGUAUUAAAAUUGUAAUUUAGUUAUUAAUUGCUAUUUUUCGUAUACGGUUCGAUCAAGCGUCAAAAAGGGCAUUUGGU